This 328-nucleotide unclassified non-coding RNA is filed under the name uncultured fungus. RNAcentral's name for it is "sequence contains ITS1". The record is from RNAcentral. Lineage: Eukaryota; Fungi.
AACGGCAUAUCAAUAAGCGGAGGAGCAUGCCUGUUUGAGUGUCAUGAAACCCUCAAACCCAAGUUUUGGAUUUCGGUCCAUGCUUGGGUUUGGAUUUGGAUGUUUGCCGGUGAUGAACCGACUCAUCUUAAAAGUAUUAGCUGGAUCUGUCUAUAUGACUGGUUUGACUUGGCAUAAUAAGUAUUUUGCUGAGGACAUCUUCGGAUGGCCAGUACCUAGACUACUGUCUGCUAACUAAACCAUCACUUUAAGUGCAUCUUUGGAUGUUACUCAUUGUGUAACUUUGACAUCUGGCCUCAAAUCAAGUAGGACUACCCGCUGAACUUAA